GAUGUCUAGACGAAUUUCGAGAAAGGCGUGACUUCAAAGAAAUUUAUGCACAAGCGGUGGAGUUGAAACGAGUUUAAGAGCCCCACCGGUGUUAUUCUACACCGAAGAAGAUACAAUUUUGCGCUUCGUUGAAUUUCACCUGCACGGACUGUGUUACGUGGCGGAAUAUAUUCGGCGGACGGACACCUGCAUUGCGGACAAUACCAUGGAUUUUUCACGGGGAAUGUUUCAGGAAUCCUUUGAACGAUCGGUGUUAUAAAAAAAUUCACGAAGAACAAAAAAAAAAAAAGGAAAGACGAUGAAAAAAUUGAAUAAAUAACGAAGAUACGUGUUUUGUUACGUGGAAUUUAGAAAUCGACAAGAAAUCAAUCGAUCGAUCAUUAAUUUGCUAAUGCACGGAGCGCAACGAUAGUUUAAUUAGAAGAUAAGUUACUUUCUUGUUAUGCGUUCUGUCCACUCCGCGGAGAGAAAGCUGCAGAACGCGCCGCAAACGUCAUGUAAGUAGAGAGUAUUCGUGGUGGCACACUUUUCUGUUGGAGAAUCGAUACUGUGAUCUUAAGGAUCAAACGACAAGAAAAAUCUAUAUUUUCUUUAAAAACAAUAAAUCGUUCAAACGAAUUCAUAAAUUUCCAAAUCACUGUCAAAAAUAUAUAUAUACAAUUACUUUAUUUUUGUCUCUUUCUUCAAUUGAAUAGAAAAAAUACACUUAUUUCAAGAAAAUAUGACAAUAUUAUAUAACAGAAAAAAAUAAGAGGAUAAUAUUCGUUGAACCAUAUCAAUGCGGUGGUUUAUGUGCAAGUAACCUGUAACGCUUCUUAAUGAAACCAUACGAGUUAUGUUCAAACGAUAUCGGUUUAGCCGGUCGAGCCAUCGAGUGAAACUGUUUGCGCGUCUUAACGAGAGUCGAAGAAAGCGUUAACAUGAGAUUACUUAAACAGGAUAUGAAAUAUUACCCAAGGAACAAUCAAUAGAAUCAUAAUACUUUAAUAUUUACAUCUUAUCCGUACGAUCUACAUAUAUGUGACUUUUUGCAAAAAAUUUAAACAACAGUUUAAUAUAGUUGAAUUAUGCCUUAUUGAUAAAGUAACAAGAGCGAUAAUUACCGUUCGUACAAGAGCGUGUAAUAUCGCAACAUCGUGAUUAUCGUAAACGAUUACUUCCGUUCAGCAUCAGAAGAACUGAUGCGGCUAUCAUUACUUUACAACGAGGAUCGAUGAGUUGCACAGCGUAAUAGAUACCUCAAGGUAAACGCGACAAUUUGAAUGCGAUAACACUCUGGCAAUCUUCGAGGAAUAUUCAUUUAUUUGAUCGGCCGCCAAGAAGCGGCAGUAGUUUUACUUUUUUAAUCGUCAAACGUGGUCGUGUAAACCGGUAUAACUGUACCGGAGAUAUCGCGUGACCCGAGGGUAAUAGAAACUUCUCAAUCGCGCACGUACUAACGUAAUUUUCACUUGCGCACUUAAUUAUUUCUUUUGCCGGCGAUGCGUUAAAAAGAGGUCAUUUUGGUGAAAAUAAAUAAAUGGAGAGAAAAAAAAAAAAAAAAAAAAAA
Apis mellifera (honey bee) is the source of this 1549-nucleotide long non-coding RNA. RefSeq lists it as uncharacterized. The record is from RefSeq and is a predicted model, not a curated record. NCBI's taxonomy places the organism in Eukaryota, Metazoa, Arthropoda, Insecta, Hymenoptera, Apidae. The transcript is spliced from 2 exons.